RNAcentral lists this transfer RNA (73 nucleotides) under Ailuropoda melanoleuca (giant panda). It matches the Rfam family "tRNA". From Rfam's summary of the family: Transfer RNA (tRNA) molecules are approximately 80 nucleotides in length. Their secondary structure includes four short double-helical elements and three loops (D, anti-codon, and T loops). The record is from Rfam by way of RNAcentral. Lineage: Eukaryota; Metazoa; Chordata; Mammalia; Carnivora; Ursidae.
AUCUGAUUGGCUCAGUUGGUGGAGUGUGUGACUUUUGAUCUCGGGAUUGUGGGUUUGAGCCCCAUGUUGGGUG